Molecule: non-coding RNA, 214 nt
Organism: Pelobates cultripes (western spadefoot toad)
Lineage: Eukaryota; Metazoa; Chordata; Amphibia; Anura; Pelobatidae
Source: the annotation of a GenBank genome assembly
CUCCCAUCAACUAAAACUAAUCACUCACAACACCCCACCAUCAUUCCUCUCUUUCCUACUGAUAACGCUUGGUGUCCGGUCAAGGCGCUAGACCACCUCUGGUCAACCCAUCACGCGCACUUACCAGACUCUCCACUCUUAACACUACAAGGGCACCCGCUCACCACGGCUAAAUUCACGGCACACGUCAGAUCGUUACUAUCUAAACUGUGUU